AGACUUGUUGUUUGCGGUUAAUUAAUUGCACAUACUGAAGUUUGAUGCCAUGUUCUGAUGAAUCCGGUCUUGAUUCCUGAAGGAAAGAAACAUGAAAUUGCCGCUGUGGCAUCUCUACAUGGCAUCAAACGUCAGCAUGUGUAAAUAGUUAAUUGCACGACACCAGAA
RNAcentral lists this microRNA precursor (168 nucleotides) under Physcomitrium patens. RNAcentral describes it as "Physcomitrella patens miR1067 stem-loop (ppt-MIR1067)". The record is from miRBase by way of RNAcentral. Lineage: Eukaryota; Viridiplantae; Streptophyta; Bryopsida; Funariales; Funariaceae.